CCUCAGCACAAAGCAGCCAAUAGAAAUGUGCCGUUGCCAUGCUUCAUCUGAAAGGAAAUGGUCACUCCAUCAGUACAGUGAUAAUAUCUCCAUUAUUCUUGCUACCAAGAUGUAAAGCAGGGCCAUCCAGACGACUCCAGGAGUAUUCAAGCAUAAUCUGUAAAGACCAGAAGGAAAAAUUACAAAUCUUCCCUUUUGUUAUCUUGUAUAAUUCAAUUCUUAUAAAAUCUCGCUCAGACAUCCAAGGAAGGUAUUUGGGCCAUCUUUGGUCUUUCAACCUCUGGUGGAAACUACGAAUGGCAGGAAAUCAUCUUCAUCACAGCGAUGGUCACUUGCUAGCCUGGAAAAUGGACCAAACCAAAUCAACUCACCUCAGCGCAAAGCAGCCAAUAGAAAUGUGCCGUUGGCAUGCUUCAUCUUAACGGAAAUGGUCACUCCAUCAGUACAUUAAUUUUUCUUGCUACCAAGAUGUAAAGCAGGGCCAUAUAGAUGAUUCCAUGAGUAUUCAAGCAUAAUCUGUAAAGACCAGAAGGAAAAAUUACAAGUCUUUUCUUUUGUAAUCUUGUGUAAUUCAAAUCUAAUCAAAUCUCGCUCAGACAUCCAAGGAAGGUAUUUGGGCCAUCUUUGGUUUUACAACCUCUGGUGGAAACUACGAAUGGCAGGAAAUCAACUUCAUCACAGCGAUGGUCACUUGCUAGCCUUGAAAAUGCACCAAAACUCACCUCAGCACAAAGCAGCCAAUAGAAAUGUGCCGUUGGCAUGCUUCAUCUUAACGGAAAUGGUCACUCCAUCAGUACAUUAAUUUUUCUUGCUACCAAGAUGUAAAGCAGGGCC
Long non-coding RNA from Clupea harengus (Atlantic herring), 834 nucleotides. The record is from Ensembl. Lineage: Eukaryota; Metazoa; Chordata; Actinopteri; Clupeiformes; Clupeidae.